RNAcentral lists this long non-coding RNA (318 nucleotides) under Gossypium raimondii (Peruvian cotton). RNAcentral's name for it is "long non-coding RNA (GRAI_LNC002361)". Lineage: Eukaryota; Viridiplantae; Streptophyta; Magnoliopsida; Malvales; Malvaceae. The record is from RNAcentral.
AAAGAGAGGAGCACCAAAGAAGUCGAGAUUCAACAGGACCAGACAAAAUUGGCCCUUCUUAAAGUCUUUGCUCUAUUCCCGUUACACGUCAAUGGGUAAAGAGGGGUAGCUGUAAAAGACCAAUUUUAUCUGGCCCAAUAAACAAAACAAAAAAAAAAACAAAAGUUCAUUUACAAAAUAGAUUGGCCCAAAAAAAGAGCCCAAUAACCCAACCCACCUGCUAAACCUAAUACCCAAUAACCCAAAGCCCAAUAGCCCAUAACCUAAACUAUUCUCAGAAAGUAAAAAAAUCCUAACCCGUUUGGCGUCGCUCCCCAC